Molecule: ribosomal RNA, 352 nt
Filed under: uncultured bacterium
Lineage: Bacteria
Description: bacterial SSU rRNA
Rfam family: Bacterial small subunit ribosomal RNA
Source: RNAcentral
AAGGGGAGCAAUCCCUGAGUAAAGUGGCGACCGGGUGAGUAACACGUGACUAACCUACCUUCGAGUGGGGGAUAACUCCGGGAAACCGGGGCUAAUACCGCAUAACAUCUUUGGAUCGGAAGAACUGGAGAUCAAAGGAGCAAUUCGCUUGAUGAGGGAGUCGCGGCUGAUUAGCUUGUUGGCGGGGUAAUGGCCCACCAAGGCGAUGAUCGGUAUCCGGCCUGAGAGGGCGCACGGACACACUGGAACUGAAACACGGUCCAGACUCCUACGGGAGGCAGCAGUGGGGAAUUUUGCGCAAUGGGGGAAACCCUGACGCAGCAACGCCGCGUGGAGGAUGAAGUCCCUUGGG